UCCAAGCAUUACCUUCCAUGAU
RNAcentral lists this non-coding RNA (22 nucleotides) under Arabidopsis thaliana (thale cress). The record is from RNAcentral. Lineage: Eukaryota; Viridiplantae; Streptophyta; Magnoliopsida; Brassicales; Brassicaceae.